Molecule: transfer RNA, 109 nt
Filed under: Fibroporia radiculosa
Lineage: Eukaryota; Fungi; Basidiomycota; Agaricomycetes; Polyporales; Fibroporiaceae
Rfam family: tRNA
About the family: Transfer RNA (tRNA) molecules are approximately 80 nucleotides in length. Their secondary structure includes four short double-helical elements and three loops (D, anti-codon, and T loops).
Source: Rfam by way of RNAcentral
GGUGAGAUGGCCGAGCGGUCUAAGGCGCCAGACUAAGGUAGUUACCCUGGGUUUCGGACCCUGAAAAAUCUGGUCCGAAAGGGCGUGGGUUCGAAUCCCACUCUCAUCA